Molecule: ribosomal RNA, 301 nt
Filed under: uncultured bacterium
Lineage: Bacteria
Description: partial 16S ribosomal RNA
Rfam family: Bacterial small subunit ribosomal RNA
Source: RNAcentral
CAGUCGCCACGGGAAUACGAAGGGUGCAAGCGUUAAUCGGAAUUACUGGGCGUAAAGCGUGCGUAGGCGGUUUGUUAAGUCUGUUGUGAAAUCCCCGGGCUCAACCUGGGAAUGGCAAUGGAUACUGGCAAGCUAGAGUGUGUCAGAGGAUGGUGGAAUUCCCGGUGUAGCGGUGAAAUGCGUAGAGAUCGGGAGGAACAUCAGUGGCGAAGGCGGCCAUCUGGGACAACACUGACGCUGAGGCACGAAAGCGUGGGGAGCAAACAGGAUUAGAUACCCCAGUAGUCCCUGUCUCUUAUAC